CGGCAACAGCUCAAAUUUAAAAUCUGGCCUCUUCGGGGCCCGAGUUGUAAUUUGUAGAGGAUGCUUCGGGUGUGGCCCCGGUCUAAGUUCCUUGGAACAGGACGUCACAGAGGGUGAGAAUCCCGUACGUGCCCGGUGGCCGCCCCCGUGUGAAGCUCCUUCGAC
This 165-nucleotide ribosomal RNA is filed under the name Oidiodendron sp. RNAcentral describes it as "partial large subunit ribosomal RNA". It matches the Rfam family "Eukaryotic large subunit ribosomal RNA", at positions 99 to 261 of the family's 3401-position model. Lineage: Eukaryota; Fungi; Ascomycota; Leotiomycetes; Myxotrichaceae. The record is from RNAcentral.